This 484-nucleotide ribosomal RNA is filed under the name uncultured bacterium. RNAcentral describes it as "partial 16S ribosomal RNA". It matches the Rfam family "Bacterial small subunit ribosomal RNA", at positions 30 to 507 of the family's 1533-position model. The record is from RNAcentral.
AUUGAACGCUGGCGGCAGGCCUAACACAUGCAAGUCGAGCGGAUGAAGGGAGCUUGCUCCUGGAUUCAGCGGCGGACGGGUGAGUAAUGCCUAGGAAUCUGCCUGGUAGUGGGGGAUAACGUCCGGAAACGGGCGCUAAUACCGCAUACGUCCUGAGGGAGAAAGUGGGGGAUCUUCGGACCUCACGCUAUCAGAUGAGCCUAGGUCGGAUUAGCUAGUUGGUGGGGUAAAGGCCUACCAAGGCGACGAUCCGUAACUGGUCUGAGAGGAUGAUCAGUCACAAUGGAACUGAGACAAGGUGCAGAAUCCUAAGGGAGGAAGCAGUGGGGAAUAUUGGACAAUGGGGGGAAGCCUGAUCCAGCCAUGCCGCGGGGGGGAAGAAGGUCUUCGGAUUGUAAAAAACUUUUAGUUGGGAGGAAGGGGAGUAAGUUAAUACCUUGCUGUUUUGACGUUACCAACAAAAGAAGAACCGGCUAACUUCGUG